This is a long non-coding RNA of Portunus trituberculatus (swimming crab), 1510 nucleotides long. RefSeq lists it as uncharacterized. The record is from RefSeq and is a predicted model, not a curated record. The transcript is spliced from 2 exons. NCBI's taxonomy places the organism in Eukaryota, Metazoa, Arthropoda, Malacostraca, Decapoda, Portunidae.
UGCGCCUCCAGCACCAGCGCCGCACUGCUCCACUCCCUCCGCCCGCCGCCGCCGUCCCACACCCACUGUACACAACUACCGGCUACACGAGCAGCUCUACAAUACACAGACACACAACACUACACGAUGACAUAAAAAGGGAUUACGUAUUAUGGCUAAAAUUAUGAUAUGCCACUGAAAGCAACACAGACACAUGCGUAUAAGCAAAUCUCUACACGUCUGUCUGUCUGCGUGUCCAAGAGGUUAAUGCAUAUGCAGGGUACAUCUAAUACAACAAUAGUACUGGAACGUUGAUAUCUUUUUGUGCCUUAUGUUGUGCUUCACUUAUCCACCGUGUGGUGGUCUGAGUGGCCGGCAGCGCUGCGCUGAGCGUGGAGGGGGGGAAGCGACCCACAGGCUUACUCCUCACACUCUUGUGAUGCAAGUUGUGUGUGGAUCUUGUUCAUCUCACAUUGGUGAGUGUGUGUCUAUCACUGCAUUCACUUCUUCAGAAAUGAUAGCUGCUGACCAGGCUGUGCUCUAAAUCAUGUUUCUGUGUGCCAUGAAAGAAGAGAAAAUAUUCGUGAUUGUUUAAUUUUUGCAAGCAAUUUUUAUCUAACUUUUGGUCAUGUGCACACAACAUGUAAUGCUGAACCCAGGGCAGGACAAGCCAGGGAAUCACGCCCCACCACUCAGCCACUCAGACAUGUGCUGUUUGGACACCCAGAGAGACAAGGCUGGGAGUGGGCGAGGUGCGUGGGAGCGCCGGUGCUCGGGGCGACGUUAAACAAAUCAGUGAGAGAGAACAGCGUCGACGGUGAACAUUCGGUAAGAGACACAUGUGACAUUGCAGCCGGUGUAGUAGGUGCCUAUAAUGCCUGCGCCACCUCAUAAGAAACACGGAAAAUAAGUCGUUACCCGAAAGAAACGCCAGGACGCAGCUCUCGCCACGUCCUGCGGGAUUCAAAGUAAGAGCCGUGUGCAGACGUGUCAGGACUGCCGUGAUCCUUCUGGUAACUGAGGAGGAAACAUAGGCACACAGUAGUCCCCCAACCACUGUGUCAAGCAACCAGGAGCGACAGGGAGGCUGGCCAGGCACUACAACAGACUGGUGCUCCGAGGAAGUCACUAAACAGUCAGGGCAAUGUACUUAGGAAAUUAUUGUGAUGCUUGGAAUCAUGUUGGUGUUAUUUGUAUUUGUUACCAUUCUGCUCUGUCACUGUUAACUUGUACCCAUUACUUCAUGCAAAUUCAUCAAAAAAGUAAUAUGCAAAACUUAAUUUCUGUUAUUGUUUUAAUAUGAAAUUAUUUUGUGCAAUUACUGUAAUUUUCAUCAUUAAUUCAUGGAAAUUCAUGAAAGAACUAAAAUUAUGAUGUAUAUUCCAUUUAUAUCAUGUUAUUUUGUGCAAUUGUGGUAACUUGUAUCCAAAAAUUGAUGUUAAUUGAUUAAGGAAAGUAUGCCAAAAUGUUUAUAUUGCAGUCAGUCAUCCAUAUCACCACUGUAACAAAAUAAAAUCAUAAAAGCUUCAAA